RNAcentral lists this ribosomal RNA (1968 nucleotides) under human gut metagenome. RNAcentral describes it as "bacterial LSU rRNA". It matches the Rfam family "Bacterial large subunit ribosomal RNA", at positions 1 to 1983 of the family's 2925-position model. The record is from RNAcentral.
GAAAGUAGGAAAGGGCGCAUGGCGGAUGCCUUGGCUCUCGGAGGCGAUGAAGGACGUGAUAAGCUGCGAUAAGUCACGGGGAGGUGCAAAUAACCUUUGAUCCGUGAAUCUCCGAAUGGGACAACCCGAUAUCCUGAAGGGAUAUCACCUCAUCUAGUUGAGGAGCUAACGCAGGGAACUGAAACAUCUUAGUACCUGCAGGAAAAGAAAAUAACAAUGAUUCCCCCAGUAGUGGCGAGCGAACGGGGAAGAGCCCAAACCAUUCAUGUUACGGCAUGGAUGGGGUUGUAGGACCACGGCGUUGCAAGAGAUCUUGUGAGAAGAACAGCCUGGAAAGACUGACCACAGACGGUGACAGUCCGGUAUUCGAAGCAAGACGAAGCAUAGUGGUAUCCUGAGUAGCGCGGAACACGAGGAAUUCUGCGUGAAUCUGCCGGGACCAUCCGGUAAGGCUAAAUACUCCCGAGAGACCGAUAGUGGACCAGUACCGUGAGGGAAAGGUGAAAAGCACUUCGAACAGAAGAGUGAAAGAGUACCUGAAACCGUGCGCCUACAAGCGGUCGGAGCACGAAAGUGUGACGGCGUGCCUUUUGCAUAAUGAACCUACGAGUUACCGUAUCUGGCAAGGUUAAGGGUCACGAGACCUGCAGCCGAAGCGAAAGCGAGUCUGAAGAGGGCGUCGAGUCAGUUGCGGUAGACGCGAAACCAAGUGAUCUACCCUUGGCCAGGAUGAAGUCUGGGUAACACCAGAUGGAGGUCCGCACCAAUAAGCGUUGAAAAGCUUCUGGAUGAGCUGAGGGUAGGGGUGAAAGGCUAAUCAAACUUGGAGAUAGCUCGUACUCCCCGAAAUGCAUUUAGGUGCAGCCUUGCGGGUUACUGAUGUGAGGUAGAGCGACUGAUAAGAUGCGAGGGCUUCACCGCCUAUCAAGUCUUGACAAACUCCGAAUGCGCAUCAGUUCUACCGCAGGAGUGAGGGCAUGGGUGCUAAGGUCCGUGCCCGAGAGGAGAAGAAUCCGGACCACCUGCUAAGGUCCCGAAAUGACAGCUAAGUUAAACUAACGAAGUCUGACUGCUAAGACAGCUAGGAUGUUGGCUUGGAAGCAGCCAUUCAUUUAAAGAGUGCGUAACAGCUCACUAGUCGAGGAGUUUGGCGUGGAUAAUAAUCGGGUAUCAAGCUGUUUACCGAAGCAGUGGGAUCAUAUAAUGAUCGGUAGGGGAGCAUUCCACUCUGCGUCGAAGGUGGGGCGUGAGCCCUGCUGGAGCGUGUGGAAAAGCAAAUGUAGGUAUAAGUAACGAUAAAGGGGGUGAGAAACCCCCUCGCCGCAAGACUCAGGUUUCCUGAUCAACGUUAAUCGGAUCAGGGUCAGUCGGGUCCUAAGGCUCAGCCGAACGGCGAGGCCGAUGGCAGAACCGGUUAAUAUUCCGGUACUACCCUUUGGGGUGAUGUGGAGACGCAGUCGUGACAAUGCCGCCAGCUGACGGAAUAGCUGGUUAAAGGGUGUAGAAGUUGAUUGUGGCAGGCAAAUCCACCACAAGAUUCGAACCUGACAGUAUGGAGCGUCCUUCCGGACAAUCCAAUAGUGCAUGUAAUCAUACUGCCAAGAAAAUCCGCUAAACAUAACCUUCAGGGUACCCGUACCGCAAACGGACACACGUAGUCGGGUUGAAUAUACUAAGGCGCUUGAGUGAUUCACGGUUAAGGAACUAGGCAAAUUAACCCUGUAACUUCGGGAAAAAGGGUCCCUACCCGUUAGCGGGAGGGCGCAGAGAAUCGGUCCAGGCAACUGUUUAACAAAAACACAGGGCUGUGCGAAGUCGAAAGACGCUGUAUACAGCCUGACACCUGCCCGGUGCUGGAAGGUUAAGAGGAGAUGUCAUCGCAAGAGAAGCAUUGAAUUGAAGCCCCAGUAAACGGCGGCCGUAACUAUAACGGUCCUAAGGUAGCGAAAUUCCUUGUCGGGUAAGUUC